AAUUCUCAACCUUAUUAGCUUCUGCUAAUAAUGGCUUGGAUGUGGGGGUUUUUGCUGGCUUUGUUAAAAGGUCUGCUCCCCUUAAAUUUAUUAGCCGGUACCCCGCAUGGACUGUCUAUUGGUGUGAUAAUUAUCUACGCCGUGGAUGUCUGUUUUAAUGGGUUGUGCUGCUUCUAACAGUCUUUUUAUUAAGACAAUACAAUGACA
RNAcentral lists this unclassified non-coding RNA (207 nucleotides) under Galerina clavata. RNAcentral's name for it is "partial internal transcribed spacer 2". Lineage: Eukaryota; Fungi; Basidiomycota; Agaricomycetes; Agaricales; Galerinaceae. The record is from RNAcentral.